Molecule: ribosomal RNA, 504 nt
Filed under: uncultured bacterium
Lineage: Bacteria
Description: partial 16S ribosomal RNA
Rfam family: Bacterial small subunit ribosomal RNA
Source: RNAcentral
AUUGAACGCUGGCGGCAGGCCUAACACAUGCAAGUCGAGCGGUAACACAGGGAGCUUGCUCCUGGGUGACGAGCGGCGGACGGGUGAGUAAUGUCUGGGAAACUGCCUGAUGGAGGGGGAUAACUACUGGAAACGGUAGCUAAUACCGCAUAACGACGCAAGACCAAAGAGGGGGACCUUCGGGCCUCUUGCCAUCAGAUGUGCCCAGAUGGGAUUAGCUAGUAGGUGGGGUAACGGCUCACCUAGGCGACGAUCCCUAGCUGGUCUGAGAGGAUGACCAGCCACACUGGAACUGAGACACGGUCCAGACUCCUACGGGAGGCAGCAGUGGGGAAUAUUGCACAAUGGGCGCAAGCCUGAUGCAGCCAUGCCGCGUGUAUGAAGAAGGCCUUCGGGUUGUAAAGUACUUUCAGCGGGGAGGAAGGCGACAAGGUUAACAACCUUGUCGAUUGACGUUACCCGCAGAAGAAGCACCGGCUAACUCCGUGCCAGCAGCCGCCGUAA